This 253-nucleotide ribosomal RNA is filed under the name uncultured bacterium. RNAcentral describes it as "partial 16S ribosomal RNA". It matches the Rfam family "Bacterial small subunit ribosomal RNA", at positions 524 to 776 of the family's 1533-position model. The record is from RNAcentral.
UACGAAGGGGGCUAGCGUUGCUCGGAAUCACUGGGCGUAAAGGGUGCGUAGGCGGAUCUUUAAGUCAGGGGUGAAAUCCCGGGGCUCAACCCCGGAACUGCCUUUGAUACUGGGGAUCUUGAGUUCGGGAGAGGUGAGUGGAACUGCGAGUGUAGAGGUGAAAUUCGUAGAUAUUCGCAAGAACACCAGUGGCGAAGGCGGCUCACUGGCCCGAUACUGACGCUGAGGCACGAAAGCGUGGGGAGCAAACAGG